AGGGGACAUAACUUCACUUUUCAAUGUACAAAACAUUUCAAAAGUAAAUAUUGAACCUUUCCAACUAGGUUUUAUGAAACCCAAAACAACAACCAUCUUACACAAAACGCAAAACUGACAGUCAAACCACAAAAUUAAAAAAUAAAUAACUUACAAUAAACCUUUGAAAGGUUACCUUAGCGUGACUUAGGAUACAGAUAGAGUUCUGGAAAAGUGAUAAUACUAUUUAAGUUAAAGUAAUAAUACUUUAUAAAGACUAUCCCCUU
RNAcentral lists this long non-coding RNA (266 nucleotides) under Vigna radiata. Its description in RNAcentral is "long non-coding RNA (VRAD_LNC004452)". Lineage: Eukaryota; Viridiplantae; Streptophyta; Magnoliopsida; Fabales; Fabaceae. The record is from RNAcentral.